UCUCGUUGAAGAUGUGAAUAUCUGUCUGCAGGCAUGCAGCAGUCUACCUGCUCUGUCCUCUUCCUUGCCAGAUGAUCUUUUACAGAGGUAUGAAAUUAAGAUCAUGUCUUUUGACAUUAAUCCUAAUAACUUUGAAAUGUUAACACACCUGCUUUGUCUAUUUCGUUCUUUCAUAGAUGUGUUGAUGUUUGCCAUGUUCAACUAGUGCACUGUGGAACUCGUAUUCGACAAGCAUUUGGAAAACUGUUGAAAUCAAUUCCUUUAGAUGUUAUCCUAAGCAAUAACAAUCACACAGAAAUUCAAGAAAUUUCUUUAGCAUUAAGAAGUCACAUGAGUAAAGCACCAAGUAAUACAUUCCACCCCCAAGAUUUCUCUGAUGUUAUUAGUUUUAUUUUGUAUGGGAACUCUCAUAGAACAGGGAAGGACAAUUGGUUGGAAAGACUGUUCUAUAGCUGCCAGAGACUGGAUAAGCAUGACCAGUCAACAAUUCCACGCAAUCUCCUGAAGACAGAUGCUAUCCUUUGGCAGUGGGCCGUAUGGGAAGCUGCACAAUUCACUGUUCUUUCUAAGCUGAGAACCCCACUGGGCAGAGCUCAAGACACCUUCCAGACAAUUGAAGGUAUCAUUCGAAGUCUCGCAGCUCACACAUUAAACCCUGAUCAGGAUGUUAGUCAGUGGACAACUGCAGACAGUGAUGAAGGCCAUGGUAACAACCAACUUAGACUUGUUCUUCUUCUGCAGUAUCUGGAAUAUCUGGAGAAAUUAAUGUAUAAUGCAUACGAGGGAUGUGCUAAUGCAUUAACUUCACCUCCCAAGGACUGGCUAACGCGGAUUCGACUCUCCAUCAUGAGGGUAGGAUUGUUGGCAGGCCAGCCUGCAGUGACAGUGAGACAUGGCUUUGACUUGCUUACAGAGAUGAAAACAACCAGCCUAUCUCAGGGGAAUGAAUUGGAAGUAACCAUUAUGAUGGUGGUAGAAGCACUAUGUGAACUUCAUUGUCCUGAAGCUAUACAGGGAAUUGCUGUCUGGUCAUCAUCUAUUGUUGGAAAAAAUCUUCUGUGGAUUAACUCAGUGGCUCAACAGGCUGAAGGGAGGUUUGAAAAGGCCUCUGUGGAGUACCAGGAACACCUGUGUGCCAUGAUAGGUGUUCAUUGCUGCAUCUCCAGCUUUGACAAAUCGGUGCUCACCUUAGCCAAUGCUGGGUGUAACAGUGCCAGCCCGAAACAUUGUCUGAAUGGUGAAUCCAGAAAAACUGUGCUGUCCAAACCGACUGACUCUUCCCCUGAGGUUAUAAAUUAUUUAGGAAAUAAAGCAUGUGAGUGCUACAUCUCAAUUGCCGAUUGGGCUGCUGUGCAGGAAUGGCAGAACGCUAUCCAUGACUUGAAAAAGAGUACCAGUAGCACUUCCUUCAACCUGAAAGCUGACUUCAACUAUAUAAAAUCAUUAAGCAGCUUUGAGUCUGGAAAAUUUGUCAAAUGUACCGAGCAAUUAGAAUUGUUACCAGGAGAAAAUAUCAAUCUACUUGCUGGAGGGUCAAAAG
Molecule: long non-coding RNA, 1540 nt
Filed under: Homo sapiens (human)
Lineage: Eukaryota; Metazoa; Chordata; Mammalia; Primates; Hominidae
Description: novel transcript
Source: RNAcentral